Molecule: ribosomal RNA, 746 nt
Filed under: uncultured bacterium
Lineage: Bacteria
Description: bacterial SSU rRNA
Rfam family: Bacterial small subunit ribosomal RNA
Source: RNAcentral
GCCCUUAACAGGAUUAGAUACCCUGGUAGUCCACCCCGUAAACGUUGGGAACUAGUUGUGGGGUCCAUUCCACGGAUUCCGUGACGCAGCUAACGCAUUAAGUUCCCCGCCUGGGGAGUACGGCCGCAAGGCUAAAACUCAAAGGAAUUGACGGGGACCCGCACAAGCGGCGGAGCAUGCGGAUUAAUUCGAUGCAACGCGAAGAACCUUACCAAGGCUUGACAUACACGAGAACGCUGCAGAAAUGUAGAACUCUUUGGACACUCGUGAACAGGUGGUGCAUGGUUGUCGUCAGCUCGUGUCGUGAGAUGUUGGGUUAAGUCCCGCAACGAGCGCAACCCUCGUUCUAUGUUGCCAGCACGUAAUGGUGGGAACUCAUGGGAUACUGCCGGGGUCAACUCGGAGGAAGGUGGGGAUGACGUCAAAUCAUCAUGCCCCUUAUGUCUUGGGCUUCACGCAUGCUACAAUGGCCGGUACAAAGGGCUGCAAUACCGCAAGGUGGAGCGAAUCCCAAAAAGCCGGUCCCAGUUCGGAUUGAGGUCUGCAACUCGACCUCAUGAAGUCGGAGUCGCUAGUAAUCGCAGAUCAGCAACGCUGCGGUGAAUACGUUCCCGGGUCUUGUACACACCGCCCGUCAAGUCAUGAAAGUCGGUAACACCUGAAGCCGGUGGCCCAACCCUUGUGGAGGGAGCCGUCGAAGGUGGGAUCGGUAAUUAGGACUAAGUCGUAACAAGGUAACCAAGGGC